Molecule: non-coding RNA, 165 nt
Organism: Vigna angularis (adzuki bean)
Lineage: Eukaryota; Viridiplantae; Streptophyta; Magnoliopsida; Fabales; Fabaceae
Source: Rfam
GCCUCCCUAAAGGUAACGGAGGCAUGCAAAGGUUUCCUUGGGCUAAAUAUAGAUUGACCCUCAAGUGCAAAGGCAAAAGGGAGUUUGACUGUAAGACCUACCCAUUGAACAGGGAUGAAAACAGUUUGAUGUCGUUAUUCCUUACAUGGAGGCACACAAAACAUU